RNAcentral lists this ribosomal RNA (681 nucleotides) under uncultured Vibrionaceae bacterium. Its description in RNAcentral is "bacterial SSU rRNA". It matches the Rfam family "Bacterial small subunit ribosomal RNA", at positions 1 to 671 of the family's 1533-position model. Lineage: Bacteria; Pseudomonadati; Pseudomonadota; Gammaproteobacteria; Vibrionales; Vibrionaceae. The record is from RNAcentral.
CGCGGGAUUAGAGUUUGAUCAUGGCUCAGAUUGAACGCUGGCGGCAGGCCUAACACAUGCAAGUCGAGCGGAAACGAGAAUAGCUUGCUAUUCGGCGUCGAGCGGCGGACGGGUGAGUAAUGCCUGGGAAAUUGCCCUGAUGUGGGGGAUAACCAUUGGAAACGAUGGCUAAUACCGCAUAAUAGCUUCGGCUUAAAGAGGGGGACCUUCGGGCCUCUCGCUUCAGGAUAUGCCCAGGUGGGAUUAGCUAGUUGGUGAGGUAAAGGCUCACCAAGGCGACGAUCCCUAGCUGGUCUGAGAGGAUGAUCAGCCACACUGGAACUGAGACACGGUCCAGACUCCUACGGGAGGCAGCAGUGGGGAAUAUUGCACAAUGGGCGCAAGCCUGAUGCAGCCAUGCCGCGUGUAUGAAGAAGGCCUUCGGGUUGUAAAGUACUUUCAGCAGUGAGGAAGGGUGUGUAGUUAAUAGCUGCAUACUUUGACGUUAGCUGCAGAAGAAGCACCGGCUAACUCCGUGCCAGCAGCCGCGGUAAUACGGAGGGUGCGAGCGUUAAUCGGAAUUACUGGGCGUAAAGCGCAUGCAGGUGGUUUGUUAAGUCAGAUGUGAAAGCCCGGGGCUCAACCUCGGAACCGCAUUUGAAACUGGCAGGCUAGAGUACUGUAGAGGGGGGUAGAAUUUCA